Molecule: ribosomal RNA, 2903 nt
Filed under: Escherichia coli KTE66
Lineage: Bacteria; Pseudomonadati; Pseudomonadota; Gammaproteobacteria; Enterobacterales; Enterobacteriaceae
Description: bacterial LSU rRNA
Rfam family: Bacterial large subunit ribosomal RNA
Source: RNAcentral
UUAAGCGACUAAGCGUACACGGUGGAUGCCCUGGCAGUCAGAGGCGAUGAAGGACGUGCUAAUCUGCGAUAAGCGUCGGUAAGGUGAUAUGAACCGUUAUAACCGGCGAUUUCCGAAUGGGGAAACCCAGUGUGAUUCGUCACACUAUCAUUAACUGAAUCCAUAGGUUAAUGAGGCGAACCGGGGGAACUGAAACAUCUAAGUACCCCGAGGAAAAGAAAUCAACCGAGAUUCCCCCAGUAGCGGCGAGCGAACGGGGAGCAGCCCAGAGCCUGAAUCAGUGUGUGUGUUAGUGGAAGCGUCUGGAAAGGCGCGCGAUACAGGGUGACAGCCCCGUACACAAAAAUGCACAUACUGUGAGCUCGAUGAGUAGGGCGGGACACGUGGUAUCCUGUCUGAAUAUGGGGGGACCAUCCUCCAAGGCUAAAUACUCCUGACUGACCGAUAGUGAACCAGUACCGUGAGGGAAAGGCGAAAAGAACCCCGGCGAGGGGAGUGAAAAAGAACCUGAAACCGUGUACGUACAAGCAGUGGGAGCACGCUUCGGCGUGUGACUGCGUACCUUUUGUAUAAUGGGUCAGCGACUUAUAUUCUGUAGCAAGGUUAACCGAAUAGGGGAGCCGAAGGGAAACCGAGUCUUAACUGGGCGUUAAGUUGCAGGGUAUAGACCCGAAACCCGGUGAUCUAGCCAUGGGCAGGUUGAAGGUUGGGUAACACUAACUGGAGGACCGAACCGACUAAUGUUGAAAAAUUAGCGGAUGACUUGUGGCUGGGGGUGAAAGGCCAAUCAAACCGGGAGAUAGCUGGUUCUCCCCGAAAGCUAUUUAGGUAGCGCCUCGUGAAUUCAUCUCCGGGGGUAGAGCACUGUUUCGGCAAGGGGGUCAUCCCGACUUACCAACCCGAUGCAAACUGCGAAUACCGGAGAAUGUUAUCACGGGAGACACACGGCGGGUGCUAACGUCCGUCGUGAAGAGGGAAACAACCCAGACCGCCAGCUAAGGUCCCAAAGUCAUGGUUAAGUGGGAAACGAUGUGGGAAGGCCCAGACAGCCAGGAUGUUGGCUUAGAAGCAGCCAUCAUUUAAAGAAAGCGUAAUAGCUCACUGGUCGAGUCGGCCUGCGCGGAAGAUGUAACGGGGCUAAACCAUGCACCGAAGCUGCGGCAGCGACACUAUGUGUUGUUGGGUAGGGGAGCGUUCUGUAAGCCUGUGAAGGUGGCCUGUGAGGGUUGCUGGAGGUAUCAGAAGUGCGAAUGCUGACAUAAGUAACGAUAAAGCGGGUGAAAAGCCCGCUCGCCGGAAGACCAAGGGUUCCUGUCCAACGUUAAUCGGGGCAGGGUGAGUCGACCCCUAAGGCGAGGCCGAAAGGCGUAGUCGAUGGGAAACAGGUUAAUAUUCCUGUACUUGGUGUUACUGCGAAGGGGGGACGGAGAAGGCUAUGUUGGCCGGGCGACGGUUGUCCCGGUUUAAGCGUGUAGGCUGGUUUUCCAGGCAAAUCCGGAAAAUCAAGGCUGAGGCGUGAUGACGAGGCACUACGGUGCUGAAGCAACAAAUGCCCUGCUUCCAGGAAAAGCCUCUAAGCAUCAGGUAACAUCAAAUCGUACCCCAAACCGACACAGGUGGUCAGGUAGAGAAUACCAAGGCGCUUGAGAGAACUCGGGUGAAGGAACUAGGCAAAAUGGUGCCGUAACUUCGGGAGAAGGCACGCUGAUACGUAGGUGAAGUCCCUCGCGGAUGGAGCUGAAAUCAGUCGAAGAUACCAGCUGGCUGCAACUGUUUAUUAAAAACACAGCACUGUGCAAACACGAAAGUGGACGUAUACGGUGUGACGCCUGCCCGGUGCCGGAAGGUUAAUUGAUGGGGUUAGCGGUAACGCGAAGCUCUUGAUCGAAGCCCCGGUAAACGGCGGCCGUAACUAUAACGGUCCUAAGGUAGCGAAAUUCCUUGUCGGGUAAGUUCCGACCUGCACGAAUGGCGUAAUGAUGGCCAGGCUGUCUCCACCCGAGACUCAGUGAAAUUGAACUCGCUGUGAAGAUGCAGUGUACCCGCGGCAAGACGGAAAGACCCCGUGAACCUUUACUAUAGCUUGACACUGAACAUUGAGCCUUGAUGUGUAGGAUAGGUGGGAGGCUUUGAAGUGUGGACGCCAGUCUGCAUGGAGCCGACCUUGAAAUACCACCCUUUAAUGUUUGAUGUUCUAACGUUGGCCCCUAAUCGGGGUUGCGGACAGUGUCUGGUGGGUAGUUUGACUGGGGCGGUCUCCUCCUAAAGAGUAACGGAGGAGCACGAAGGUUGGCUAAUCCUGGUCGGACAUCAGGAGGUUAGUGCAAUGGCAUAAGCCAGCUUGACUGCGAGCGUGACGGCGCGAGCAGGUGCGAAAGCAGGUCAUAGUGAUCCGGUGGUUCUGAAUGGAAGGGCCAUCGCUCAACGGAUAAAAGGUACUCCGGGGAUAACAGGCUGAUACCGCCCAAGAGUUCAUAUCGACGGCGGUGUUUGGCACCUCGAUGUCGGCUCAUCACAUCCUGGGGCUGAAGUAGGUCCCAAGGGUAUGGCUGUUCGCCAUUUAAAGUGGUACGCGAGCUGGGUUUAGAACGUCGUGAGACAGUUCGGUCCCUAUCUGCCGUGGGCGCUGGAGAACUGAGGGGGGCUGCUCCUAGUACGAGAGGACCGGAGUGGACGCAUCACUGGUGUUCGGGUUGUCAUGCCAAUGGCACUGCCCGGUAGCUAAAUGCGGAAGAGAUAAGUGCUGAAAGCAUCUAAGCACGAAACUUGCCCCGAGAUGAGUUCUCCCUGACUCCCUGAGAGUCCUGAAGGAACGUUGAAGACGACGACGUUGAUAGGCCGGGUGUGUAAGCGCAGCGAUGCGUUGAGCUAACCGGUACUAAUGAACCGUGAGGCUUAACCUU